CUUUGCAACCCCAUGGACUGCCAGGCUUUUCUGUCCAUGGGGAUUUUCCAGGCAAGAAUACUGGAGUGGGUUGCCAUGCCCUCCUCCAGGGAAACUUCCCGACCCAGAAAUCGAGCCCAGGUCUCCUGCACUGUGGGAGGAUGCUCCGGCUAAACCAUCUGGGAAACCCAAGAAUGCUGGAGUAGGUAGCCUAUUCCUUCUCCAGGGGAUCUUUUCCACCAGGAAUCAAACCGGGGUCUCCUGUAUUGCAAGCGGAUUCUAAACCAUCUGAGCUACCAGGGAAGCCCAUGCUGCAGCAUAUUUUAUGCCCAUUGGAUAGGCAGGUUUGCCCCCUAAGGAGGCUCAGGAGAGGAUGGAGGGGGUAAAUUAAUUCCAGAAUCUUAGACAAGAACUUAGAGCCAAGAUCUUCUUGAGACUUUACAAGCAAAAAGCUGGCUAAGCUUUACACUGAACUGAUAUAUCAAAACUGAAUAGAUAGCCCUUUGUUUUUCAUUUUGAAAUCUCUGUCUUAAAACCAAAGGACUUUGGGGGCUUCAGGCCCCAAAAGGACACAAAUGAUAAGCGAAGAUCACUAAAAAAGAAAAACCAAGCCAGAUUUAAAAAAAAAAAAAGGGUCAAGAAAAGCAGCAACUCAGAGGCACUGUAACUUCUCAUUUUGCAGCGUGCAUCUAACCUUGAAGCUAGGGCCCCAGAGAAGGGUUAGAAGCAGUUUCACUUCGUCGAUUGCUCCCCGCGGGGCCUUUCCGGAAGCAGAAAGCAGAAGUUCUUGUUAUUAAAAUAGAGCCCAUUGUGCAUGCUAGAGCAACACCAUCGGCCGGGCGUCUCUUCCGGCUAGUCCACCGCUUCAUUUCGCAGGUUGGCUUCCCCCAACCCAUUUAUAUGAACUCUAUUGGAAACCCGGCUUUUGCGGGGAGCUAUGGAGUGUGUGCUGAAGCAUUUGGCUUCAGCCAAAUGGUAUAAAACACCAAGUGAAACACUAAGUUCUGCGGUAACCCCAGAGAUCAGAGCGGCUGCCCUGCACUGGUUUGGUCUAUGUUGCCACCUUGAAGAAGGUGUGGGAGUUUUCUGCCAGCAUCGUAUCUUUCUCCUGGAGACCAGGAAAGACUUGUGAUGACCCAGGUGGGUGGUGUGUGACCACAGGUUCUGUACUAGUGGCUUUAGGAAGUAGCCCUGAGGCCUGGGUU
This is a long non-coding RNA of Bos indicus x Bos taurus (hybrid cattle), 1184 nucleotides long. The record is from Ensembl. Lineage: Eukaryota; Metazoa; Chordata; Mammalia; Artiodactyla; Bovidae.